This 406-nucleotide ribosomal RNA is filed under the name uncultured bacterium. RNAcentral describes it as "partial 16S ribosomal RNA". It matches the Rfam family "Bacterial small subunit ribosomal RNA", at positions 30 to 526 of the family's 1533-position model. The record is from RNAcentral.
AUUGAACGCUGGCGGCAGGCCUAACACAUGCAAGUCGAACGAGUGGCGGACGGGUGAGUAAUGUCUGGGAAAGUGCGUGAUGGAGGGGGAUAAGUACUGGAAACGGUAGCUAAUACCGCAUACCAUCGGAUGUGCCGAGGUGGGAUUAGCUAGUCGUGGGGGUAUCGGCUCACCAAGGGGACGAUCCCUAGCUGGUCUGAGAGGAUGACCAGCCACACUGGAACUGAGACACGGUCCAGACUCCUACGGGAGGCAGCAGUGGGGAAUAUUGCACAAUGGGCGAAAGCCUGAUGCAGCCAUGCCGCGUGUGUGAAGAAGGCCUUCGGGUUGUAAAGUACUUUCAGCUGGGAGGCGUUACCUACAGAAGAAGCACCGGCUAACUCCGUGCCAGCAGCCGCGGUAAUAC